AGCGGCGGACGGGUGAGUAAUGCCUGGGAAAUUGCCCUGAUGUGGGGGAUAACCAUUGGAAACGAUGGCUAAUACCGCAUAAUAGCUUCGGCUCAAAGAGGGGGACCUUCGGGCCUCUCGCGUCAGGAUAUGCCCAGGUGGGAUUAGCUAGUUGGUGAGGUAAGGGCUCACCAAGGCGACGAUCCCUACUGGUCCGAGAGGAUGAUCAGCCACACUGGAACUGAGACACGGUCCAGACUCCUACGGGAGGCAGCAGUGGGGAAUAUUGCACAAUGGGCGCAAGCCUGAUGCACCAUGCCGCGUGUAUGAAGAAGGCCUUCGGGUUGUAAAGUACUUUCAGCAGUGAGGAAGGCGGGUGUGUUAAUAGCACAUUCGUUUGACGUUAGCUGCAGAAGAAGCACCGGCUAACUCCGUGCCAGCAGCCGCGGUAAUACGGAGGAUGCGAGCGUUAAUCGGAAUUACUGGGCGUAAAGCGCAUGCAGGUGGUUUGUUAAGUCA
This 498-nucleotide ribosomal RNA is filed under the name uncultured Vibrio sp. RNAcentral describes it as "bacterial SSU rRNA". It matches the Rfam family "Bacterial small subunit ribosomal RNA", at positions 94 to 590 of the family's 1533-position model. The record is from RNAcentral. Lineage: Bacteria; Pseudomonadati; Pseudomonadota; Gammaproteobacteria; Vibrionales; Vibrionaceae.